AAUUUUUCCCCUUUCCCUGACAGCUCUUCUUUCUUUGUAAGGAAAAGAUAGUUUCAUGCCCACAAUUUGCCAGACUGACUGUACAAAGCAGGGAAACCCUCUCCUAAUCCAGACUAAAUCGUGUUAGAUUUAACAGCAUUGACAACGACUGAUUUUCCAUGCUUCCCUUCAAUUUCUGACAGUGCAAAUGGCAAUGAAAAAUAUCCCAAAAAGUCCUUUUCUCUUUUUCUGUUUCAGAGGUGGAUGAGUGAAUGAGCUGAACUGUGUGGCAUUACCCUGAUACCUGUGAGUUGUGAGCCUCUCCAGGAAGUUUGGCACUGGAUUUUUCAAGGAAAAAAAAAGAUUUUUAAACUGUGGAUGCUGCUGUAGUCAUCUAGAAAAAAAAAAAAAUCAGGCAUAUAAACACACACUUCCCAAGGAGAGCUAAACAUUAUCCAAGGAGAUGCCAUAACACAGGCAAUAACUGAGGGAAGCAAAGCAUUAGGCUUUUAGGGAAGAUAACUGAAUUUAUUGAGCUUUCCUGACGUGCUGGUGCCUCCUGUGUUACCUUGUGCCUCUGAAAGGGAUUUCACAGAGAGGCAUAUCUGAUCGAUGAUGUGGCCCUGGAGUCUCACUGCACCAAAGCUCCACACUUCCCAUCAAAGUUUUCCAGCAAAAAGGGGGGAGACCACAGGACACAGCACCAGACACGCAGAUGCAAUUGGUAAAACUGGAGAUGUUCUGCUUUUACCAUGUAUCCAUGCUCAGGUUGAUCCAAGGCUUUUUGUUACUGUGAAUAUCAAGGAUGACUAAAAAAUAUAAGCCUGUAAUAAAGUCCAAGAUGAAAUUCA
This is a non-coding RNA of Zonotrichia albicollis (white-throated sparrow), 830 nucleotides long. NCBI's taxonomy places the organism in Eukaryota, Metazoa, Chordata, Aves, Passeriformes, Passerellidae. The record is from RefSeq and is a predicted model, not a curated record.